Long non-coding RNA from Thalassophryne amazonica, 94 nucleotides. RefSeq lists it as uncharacterized. Lineage: Eukaryota; Metazoa; Chordata; Actinopteri; Batrachoidiformes; Batrachoididae. The transcript is spliced from 3 exons. The record is from RefSeq and is a predicted model, not a curated record.
UUGCAUCACUUUUGACCAAAAUCGGAGCAAGUUCAACUUUUGACCCCUGUACAAACUGAAACUGAUCUUUGACACUAAUUGUUACUAUUUGUAC